GACGAACGCUGGCGGCGUGCUUAACACAUGCACGCCGAACGGAAAGGCCCUGCUUUUGUGGGGUGCUCGAGGGGCGAACGGGUGUGUAACAGGUGAGUAACAUGCCCUUGACUUUGGGAUAACUUCCGGAAACUGGGGCUAAUACCGGAUAGGUGACCCUGCUGCAUGGCGGGGGUUGGAAAGUUUCGGCGGUUGGGGAUGGACUCACGGCUUAUCAGCUUGUUGGUGGGGUAGUGGCGUACCAAGGGUUUGACGGGUAGGCGGGCUGAGAGGGUGACCGGCAACAUUGGGAAUGAGAUACGGCCCAGACUCCUACGGGAGGCAGCAGUGGGGAAUAUUGCACAAUGGGCGGAAGCCUGAUGCAGCAACGCCGCGUGCGGGAUGACGGCCUUCGGGUUGUAGACCGCUUUCGCCUGUGACGAAGCGUGAGUGACGGUAAUGGGUAAAGAAGCACCGGCUAACUACGUG
Molecule: ribosomal RNA, 468 nt
Filed under: uncultured bacterium
Lineage: Bacteria
Description: partial 16S ribosomal RNA
Rfam family: Bacterial small subunit ribosomal RNA
Source: RNAcentral